UACGUAGGAUGCUAGCGUUGUUCGGAAUCACUGGGCGUAAAGGGCGCGUAGGCGGCCAUGCAAGUCGGAUGUGAAAGCCCCGGGCUCAACCCGGGAAGUGCACUCGAUACUGCGUGGCUUGAGUACCGGAGAGGUUGGUGGAAUUCUCGGUGUAGAGGUGAAAUUCGUAGAUAUCGAGAGGAACACCGGUGGCGAAGGCGGCCAACUGGACGGAUACUGACGCUGAGACACGAAAGCGUGGGGAGCAAACAGG
Molecule: ribosomal RNA, 253 nt
Filed under: uncultured bacterium
Lineage: Bacteria
Description: partial 16S ribosomal RNA
Rfam family: Bacterial small subunit ribosomal RNA
Source: RNAcentral